Molecule: ribosomal RNA, 250 nt
Filed under: uncultured bacterium
Lineage: Bacteria
Description: partial 16S ribosomal RNA
Rfam family: Bacterial small subunit ribosomal RNA
Source: RNAcentral
GCAAGUCGAACGGCAGCGCGGGGAGCUUGCUCCCUGGCGGCGAGUGGCGGACGGGUGAGUAAUGCAUAGGAAUCUGCCCAGUAGUGGGGGAUAACUCCGGGAAACCGGGGCUAAUACCGCAUACGUCCCACGGGGGAAAGCAGGGGAUCUUCGGACCUUGCGCUAUUGGAUGAGCCUAUGUCGGAUUAGCUUGUUGGUGGGGUAAAGGCCCACCAAGGCGACGAUCAGUAUCUGGUUUGAGAGGAUGAUC